This is an RNA transcript of Passer domesticus (house sparrow), 1159 nucleotides long. It is a transcript of the gene named relaxin-3-like, with no coding region annotated. NCBI's taxonomy places the organism in Eukaryota, Metazoa, Chordata, Aves, Passeriformes, Passeridae. The record is from RefSeq and is a predicted model, not a curated record. The transcript is spliced from 4 exons.
GCAGAAUUCUACUGGCAGUAGAAUAACUGCCAGUGUACUAAUCAAAAUGCUUGCACGUGCUGUGCACAGUCAUAUCUGUGACAUAGUGAAAGAUACAGAAUAAUUGAAUGGUAUAAUUUCCUUCAGAGGACAGUGAAAGAAAACAGGGGCUUAGUAGUGACAAGGUUUACUUUGGGGAAAUACAUAUUCACAGCACAAGUUGCCCAUAUUCAUCAUAUUUGUUAUAUAAAUAAAUAAAGCGCCUAAAACAUCCUGCUCCUUUCUGUAAUUUGUGCUCAACUGGCCUCAGCUGUUAGACUUACUUUAAUAUAUCACAACAAUUGCCUUUGUUUCCGUGAAUCACUGGGGAAAAAAAGGAGAGCAGUUCCAGGGGGAGCCUGUUCUGGCCUGAAGGCACUACUCUUACCAUUCUUAAUUCUAAUGGUUUCUUCUGGUUAUUUUGUCUGAUAGCCAUAUAUUCUGAAUCAGUAUCAUUUGGAGCAGGAUUGUUCUGGAAAAGGGAGAAGUCAGUCCUGAUUAGGAUGCCAAAAUUAAGCUGUUUGUGUUCUAAUUAUAGGUGUGAACCCAAGGAAGUGCCUGCCACAAGUGCUUCCACUUCACUCUUAUCUGGUUGUGAUAAUAUAUAUGAGCACUGAGGAGAAACAAGCAAAAUUGCUUUGGAGAGUGCAGGUUGGGCCUUACAAUACGGAAUUCCUUACAAUAAGGAAAGUUGAAAAUCAUGGCCCCUUCCUACAUGCUUUGGAGUUAUUGAUGACUGCAUAUCGCUGGUUUUAAAAGAAGGGGAAAGCACAAUCCUGUAUGGUACUAAGCAAACUUUAGAAAUGCUGUAAAUUCAUGUUUGGACAGCUUUCAACAACGAAGUUGUCUUUGCAGAAGUGAAUUGCAUGAAUUUGAAAUUAAGUCUCUGGAAAAUGUCUAAUGAAAUCAUGCUUUUUCACAUUACUACAGAUUUUCAGACACUGAAAACAAAUCUGUUGUCUGGAAGACUACAUAAAGUCCAUGCAGAAGUCCACCUGAUAUUCUGCGCAAACAGCAAGUAACAAACUACUGGGAAGCUUCAACCUGCAAUCAGUUUUGGAUCCUGAAGUGGAGCAGCUGCAGAGAAGCAGCCCAUUUCUUGGAUGGGAGACGUUUAAGGACUUGUACAGUUUAAAUUACU